This 214-nucleotide unclassified non-coding RNA is filed under the name Hevea brasiliensis (rubber tree). The record is from RNAcentral. Lineage: Eukaryota; Viridiplantae; Streptophyta; Magnoliopsida; Malpighiales; Euphorbiaceae.
GGAGAGCAUCCAUCAAGGACAUUAUUCGUUCGAAAUAUUAACAGCAAUGUAGAGGACUCGGAGUUGAAAUCCCUCUUUGAGCAAUUUGGUGAUAUCAGAACCCUAUAUACUGCAUGCAAGCAUAGGGGCUUUGUGAUGAUAUCUUACUAUGACAUCCGAGCUGCUCGAACUGCAAUGCGUGCUCUACAAAAUAAGCCCUUGAGACGAAGAAAGC